Long non-coding RNA from Leptidea sinapis, 395 nucleotides. RefSeq lists it as uncharacterized. The transcript is spliced from 3 exons. The record is from RefSeq and is a predicted model, not a curated record. NCBI's taxonomy places the organism in Eukaryota, Metazoa, Arthropoda, Insecta, Lepidoptera, Pieridae.
GCGUGUACGACGCGAGCGCGCAGGCGGCGCCGGGAGGGGCGUGCGCGCUCCGCGGGGAGCGGCGGUGUGCGCACCUCUGUCUGCCGGUGGCGCCCGCCCGCUCCGUGUGCCGCUGUGCCGCGGGCUACGAGCAGGACGACGCGCGCUGCACACCGAGGGAUGACGUGCUCGUUUACUCCCUGAGCUGGGAGCUGCGCGGGCUGGCGUUGAACGAGAGCGGCGCCGACGAGCCGCCCGACGCUCUACCGCCGCUGCCGCAGGUUUCGUGCGCCAACGACAUCGACUACUAUGCAGAGGAAGAGUGGGUGUACUGGGCCGAUCCGGACGCGGGGGCGAUAUGGCGCCUCAAACGGGACGGCAACGAGCGCGAGCGCGUGGUGCGUCCGAGCGGGGAG